Molecule: ribosomal RNA, 252 nt
Filed under: uncultured Bacteroidales bacterium
Lineage: Bacteria; Pseudomonadati; Bacteroidota; Bacteroidia; Bacteroidales
Description: partial 16S ribosomal RNA
Rfam family: Bacterial small subunit ribosomal RNA
Source: RNAcentral
UACGGAGGAUGCGAGCGUUAUCCGGAUUUAUUGGGUUUAAAGGGUGCGUAGGCGGUCCGGAAAGUCAGCGGUAAAAGCCCGGGGCUCAACCCCGACAAGCCGUUGAAACUGGCUUGCUAGAGUGGGCGAGAAGUAUGCGGAAUGCGUGGUGUAGCGGUGAAAUGCAUAGAUAUCACGCAGAACCCCGAUUGCGAAGGCAGCAUACCGGUGCACAACUGACGCUCAGGCACGAAAGCGUGGGUAUCGAACAGG